UUUUAAGGUCUAACCUGCCCAAUGAUUUUUUUGAAUGGCCGCAGUAUUUUGACUGUGCAAAGGUAGCAUAAUCAUUAGUUUUUUAAUUGAAAGCUUGUAUGAAGGGUUGGACGAGGUAAAUUCUGUCUCUAUUUAAUUUUUGUAGAAUUUAACUUUUAAGUGAAAAGGCUUAAAUGAAACUAAAAGACGAGAAGACCCUAUAGAUCUUUAUACAGUAAUUUAUUUAAUUAUUAAGGUUUUUUUUUAAUUUAAUUUUUUAUUGUAUUUUAUUGGGGUAAUAUAAAGAUAAAAUAAAUUCUUUGAAAUUUUAAACAUUAAUUUAUGAUUAAGUGAUCCAUUUUUAGUGAUUGUAAGAUUAAGUUACCUUAGGGAUAACAGCGUAAUUUCUAUAGAGAGUUCAUAUCGAUAUAGAAGUUUGCGACCUCGAUGUUGGAUUAAAAGUUAUUGUAGGUGCAAGAGUUUACAAAUUUGGUCUGUUCGACCAUUAGACUUUUACAUGAUCUGAGUUCAGACCGGCGUAAGCCAGGUCGGUUUCUAUCUUUAGUAAUUGAGCAUAUUUUAGUACGAAAGGACCAAAUAUGAAAUAUAUUGAUAUUUAAUUUUUUGAUUAUUAUUAUUACUUUGGCAGAGUAGUGCAAUGAAUUUAGAAUUCAUAAAUGUAAUUUAAUUUACAAGUAAUAUUGUUUUUUGGGGAUUUAAUUUUUUUAUUUAUUUGUAUAUUAUUAUUAUUAAUUUGUGUAUUAGUAGGGGUUGCUUUUUUAACUUUA
RNAcentral lists this ribosomal RNA (767 nucleotides) under Manticora tibialis. RNAcentral describes it as "partial 16S ribosomal RNA". The stretch from base 1 to 566 matches the Rfam family "Bacterial large subunit ribosomal RNA", at positions 1843 to 2925 of the family's 2925-position model. Lineage: Eukaryota; Metazoa; Arthropoda; Insecta; Coleoptera; Carabidae. The record is from RNAcentral.